CUAAAAAUGAUGGCGAAUCGAAAAUGUGCUCAAUCGUUUUCGGAGUUGUGACGCUCCUCAACCGUCAGCGGGGGGAGCUAGUGAACCAGCGCGCGGGGGGGAAGCUAACGAGCUGGCCUGCCAGUCAGCUCACAGAGCCCUCAGACACGCAGACCACUGCAGAGUCCAGCAACAACAGCAGAGUAAAGACCUAAAGCUGUAUGAUGGUUGUUAUUCCUGUUAAAACCUACAAUAAACCCGAGCUGUCAUCCUGCUCGUCAUUCCCCAGAGACAAAUGCGGUUCAGCAGGAGCUGAGGGCAGUGGAAAGAACAUGCCUACUGCCAGGUUUUCGUGCAUCUACCCACCAGAGUAGUGGUUGAUCAUAUCUUCAAGGCACUGGAAAGUGA
This is a long non-coding RNA of Micropterus salmoides (largemouth bass), 387 nucleotides long. RefSeq lists it as uncharacterized. The record is from RefSeq and is a predicted model, not a curated record. NCBI's taxonomy places the organism in Eukaryota, Metazoa, Chordata, Actinopteri, Centrarchiformes, Centrarchidae. The transcript has 3 exons.